UUACGACAAUAUCAUGUUGAAACACCGGUUUUAGUACGAUCACCGAAGUUAAGCAAUAUUGAGCCUGGUCAGUACCUAGAUGGGUGACUGCUUGGGAAUACCAGGUACUGUAAGC
Molecule: non-coding RNA, 115 nt
Organism: Acanthosepion pharaonis
Lineage: Eukaryota; Metazoa; Mollusca; Cephalopoda; Sepiida; Sepiidae
Source: the annotation of a GenBank genome assembly